RNAcentral lists this ribosomal RNA (301 nucleotides) under uncultured bacterium. RNAcentral's name for it is "partial 16S ribosomal RNA". It matches the Rfam family "Bacterial small subunit ribosomal RNA", at positions 509 to 809 of the family's 1533-position model. The record is from RNAcentral.
CAGCAGCCGCGGUAAUACGUAGGUCCCGAGCGUUGUCCGGAUUAUUGGGCGUAAAGCGAGCGCAGGCGGUUAGAUAAGUCUGAAGUUAAAGGCUGUGGCUUAACCAUAGUACGCUUUGGAAACUGUUUAACUUGAGUGCAAGAGGGGAGAGUGGAAUUCCAUGUGUAGCGGUAAAAUGCGUAGAUAUAUGGAGGAACACCGGUGGCGAAAGCGGCUCUCUGGCUUGUAACUGACGCUGAGGCUCGAAAGCGUGGGGAGCAAACAGGAUUAGAUACCCCGGUAGUCCCUGUCUCUUAUACAC